AGCGAACGCUGGCGGCAGGCCCAACACAUGCAAGUCGAACGGAUCCUUCGGGAUUAGUGGCGGACGGGUGAGUAACACGUGGGAACGUGCCCUUUGGUUCGGAACAACUCAGGGAAACUUGAGCUAAUACCGGAUGUGCCCUUCGGGGGAAAGAUUUAUCGCCAUUGGAGCGGCCCGCGUCUGAUUAGCUAGUUGGUGAGGUAACGGCCCACCAAGGCGACGAUCAGUAGCUGGUCUGAGAGGAUGAUCAGCCACACUGGGACUGAGACACGGCCCAGACUCCUACGGGAGGCAGCAGUGGGGAAUCUUGCGCAAUGGGCGAAAGCCUGACGCAGCCAUGCCGCGUGAAUGAUGAAGGUCUUAGGAUUGUAAAAUUCUUUCAGCGGGGACGAUAAUGACGGUACCCGCAGAAGAAGCUCCGGCUAACUUCGUG
This 433-nucleotide ribosomal RNA is filed under the name uncultured bacterium. RNAcentral describes it as "partial 16S ribosomal RNA". It matches the Rfam family "Bacterial small subunit ribosomal RNA", at positions 29 to 507 of the family's 1533-position model. The record is from RNAcentral.